CCAGUAGUCAUAUGCUUGUCUCAAAGAUUAAGCCAUGCAUGUCUCAGUACAAGCCAAAUUAAGGUGAAACCGCGAAAGGCUCAUUAAAUCAGUUAUGGUUCCUUAGAUCGUACCCACAUUUACUUGGAUAACUGUGGUAAUUCUAGAGCUAAUACAUGCAAACAGAGCUCCGACCGGAGACGGAAGGAGCGCUUUUAUUAGAUCAAAACCAAUCGGUGGCGGGUCUCCCGUCACCGUACACGUUGGUGACUCUGAAUAACUUAUUGCUGAUCGCACGGUCUCGCACCGGCGACGCAUCUUUCAAAUGUCUGCCUUAUCAACUGUCGAUGGUAGGUUCUGCGCCUACCAUGGUUGUAACGGGUAACGGGGAAUCAGGGUUCGAUUCCGGAGAGGGAGCCUGAGAAACGGCUACCACAUCCAAGGAAGGCAGCAGGCGCGCAAAUUACCCACUCCCGGCACGGGGAGGUAGUGACGAAAAAUAACGAUACGGGACUCAUCCGAGGCCCCGUAAUCGGAAUGAGUACACUCUAAAUCCUUUAACGAGGAUCAAUUGGAGGGCAAGUCUGGUGCCAGCAGCCGCGGUAAUUCCAGCUCCAAUAGCGUAUAUUAAAGUUGUUGCGGUUAAAAAGCUCGUAGUCGAAUUUGUGUCCCGCGCCGCCGGUUCAUCGCUCGCGGUGUCAACUGGCGUGUCCGCGGGACGUCCUGCCGGUGGGCUUAGCCCCCCGUGGGCGGCCCAAUCUCAAUCCCACCGCGGUGCUCUUCAUUGAGUGUCGAGGUGGGCCGGCACGUUUACUUUGAACAAAUUAGAGUGCUUAAAGCAGGCUAAAACAUCGCCUGAAUACUGUGUGCAUGGAAUAAUGGAAUAGGACCUCGGUUCUAUUUUGUUGGUUUUCGGAACCCCGAGGUAAUGAUUAAUAGGAACGGAUGGGGGCAUUCGUAUUGCGACGUUA
Molecule: ribosomal RNA, 950 nt
Filed under: Cephalodesmius armiger
Lineage: Eukaryota; Metazoa; Arthropoda; Insecta; Coleoptera; Scarabaeidae
Description: SSU rRNA
Rfam family: Eukaryotic small subunit ribosomal RNA
Source: RNAcentral